Molecule: ribosomal RNA, 253 nt
Filed under: uncultured bacterium
Lineage: Bacteria
Description: partial 16S ribosomal RNA
Rfam family: Bacterial small subunit ribosomal RNA
Source: RNAcentral
UACAGAGGUCCCAAGCGUUGUUCGGAUUCACUGGGCGUAAAGGGUGCGUAGGUGGCGAAGUAAGUCGGAUGUGAAAUCUCCGAGCUCAACUCGGAAAUGGCAUUGGAAACUACUUUGCCCGAGGGUCGGAGGGGGGACUGGAAUUCUCGGUGUAGCAGUGAAAUGCGUAGAUAUCGAGAGGAACACCAGUGGCGAAGGCGAGUCCCUGGACGACUCCUGACACUGAGGCACGAAAGCUAGGGGAGCAAACAGG